GUCUCAAAGAUUAAGCCAUGCAUGUCUAAGUAUAAGCACUUGUACUGUGAAACUGCGAAUGGCUCAUUAAAUCAGUUAUCGUUUAUUUGAUUGUACUUUACUACAUGGAUACCUGUGGUAAUUCUAGAGCUAAUACAUGCGAAAAAUCCCGACUUCUGGAAGGGAUGUAUUUAUUAGAUUAAAAACCAAUGCGGAUCUUCGGGUCCGUUUUCUUGGUGAUUCAUGAUAACUUUUCGAAUCGCAUGGCCUAGAGCCGGCGAUAUUUCAUUCAAAUUUCUGCCCUAUCAACUGUCGAUGGUAAGGUAGUGGCUUACCAUGGUUAUAACGGGGGACGGAGAAUUAGGGUUCGAUUCCGGAGAGGGAGCCUGAGAAACGGCUACCACAUCUAAGGAAGGCAGCAGGCUCGAAAAUUACCCAAUCCCGACGCGGGGAGGUAGUGACAAGAAAUAACGAUACGGGGUCUUAAUAGGUCUCGCAAUUGGAAUGAGUACAAUUUAAAUCCUUUAACGAGGAUCAAUUGGAGGGCAAGUCUGGUG
Molecule: ribosomal RNA, 536 nt
Filed under: Siphonophorae sp. CN15
Lineage: Eukaryota; Metazoa; Cnidaria; Hydrozoa; Siphonophorae
Description: SSU rRNA
Rfam family: Eukaryotic small subunit ribosomal RNA
Source: RNAcentral